UUAAACUGAAGAGUUUGAUCAUGGCUCAGAUUGAACGCUGGCGGCAGGCUUAACACAUGCAAGUCGAGCGGAAACGAUGGUAGCUUGCUACCAGGCGUCGAGCGGCGGACGGGUGAGUAAUGCUUAGGAAUCUGCCCAGUAGUGGGGGAUAGCCCGGGGAAACUCGGAUUAAUACCGCAUACGCCCUUUUG
RNAcentral lists this ribosomal RNA (191 nucleotides) under Marinobacter antarcticus. RNAcentral's name for it is "partial 16S rRNA. Bacterial SSU". It matches the Rfam family "Bacterial small subunit ribosomal RNA", at positions 1 to 185 of the family's 1533-position model. Lineage: Bacteria; Pseudomonadati; Pseudomonadota; Gammaproteobacteria; Pseudomonadales; Marinobacteraceae. The record is from RNAcentral.